UACGUAGGGUGCAAGCGUUGUCCGGAAUUAUUGGGCGUAAAGAGCUCGUAGGCGGUCAGUCGCGUCUGCUGUGAAAACUCGGGGCUUAACUCCGGGCCUGCAGUGGGUACGGGCUGACUAGAGUGCGGUAGGGGAGACUGGAAUUCCUGGUGUAGCGGUGAAAUGCGCAGAUAUCAGGAGGAACACCGGUGGCGAAGGCGGUUGCCUGGGGCUUUGCUGACGCUGAUGCGCGAAAGCGUGGGGAGCGAUCCGG
RNAcentral lists this ribosomal RNA (253 nucleotides) under uncultured bacterium. RNAcentral describes it as "partial 16S ribosomal RNA". It matches the Rfam family "Bacterial small subunit ribosomal RNA", at positions 524 to 776 of the family's 1533-position model. The record is from RNAcentral.